GAAGCCCAGGGAAGGCUGUGCAGGGACGUCUCAUCUCCCCUUUGUGAUGCUGACACCAGCGGCCUGGAGUCGUGGGAAGGACGGGAGCCUUACCAAGACUCCUGCAAAAACCCUUGGACCUCUCCGCGUGGUUGCCAUCUCUGGCCCCUCUCAGGCUGUGCUUACCUGUGACAGCAGCUCUGUCCCCACCCCAUGGGCCUCAUGAAUAAAUGGCUUCUUGCCGGCCUUCCUUUCUGACUUAUUUCCCUUCCUCCCUCUCUUUUUUCCUUCUCUCCUUCCUUCCCUCCCCUCCUCUUUUUUCUUCCUUUUCUCCCUCCCUCCCUUCCUACCCACCUCCCUCCCUUUCGUCCUUUCUUCUUUCCUGCCUUCCCUCCCAUUUUCCUCCCCUUCUUCCCUCCUUUCCUUUCUUCCUUUCCUCUUUUCCUUCUUCCUUCCCCCUUUUUUUCCUUCCUUCCUCCUUUCCUCCCUCCCUCCCCUCCUUCCUUCCUUCCUUUCCCUCUUUGUCCCACAUUUCUCCUUCCCCUCUUCCCUUUCCUCCUUCUUUCCCUCUCUCCUUCUUUCCUCUCUGUGGCCCUUGGCUUGCCUAUGUGAAUUCUGUGGCCCAUGGACGCUGAGCUGGAGGAGGCCGAGUGCUUCUCUGUUGCGCUUGCCCCUCACCUGGCCUUCUGCAGGAGGCAGCCAUGCUGGGGCCGCUAACACAGGCUGCACGCUGGUGCUAACCCUGUCCCCAAAAGGCCAGAAAUAGGAGAAGGUGUGGUUGACUCGGAGGGAUCAUCUCUUCAUUCUCACCCUUCUACAUGCAUUUAUUGAACACCGAUGGCAUGCCUUCUCCAUGCUGGAUGAUGGAGUCAACGCUGCCCCCUGUUGGACUGACUGAACCUGCAAUCCUGCCCAUCAGCCUCUGGGGAGCAAGCCCUGAGGCUUUGGAAUGCGUCCUGCUUCCAGUCUCCCAGCCCUCCACUUCCUCUGGCCAGUUCCUCACAUAUCCCCUCUGCUCCAUGUGAGUUCAUCCUCCCUUCCCACCCUUAUGUCCUUGGCACCAGCUCAGCCUCCCUGCCCCAAUCUCCCUGGGGCUUGGACAUCAGUGGCUUCCAGGCCCAUGCUUUCAGGUUGUUACUCAUGCUGUUUCCUUUUGCUUAUCUGCCUGGUGGACCUCAUUCAUUGAACGCCAAGACUGCUUUAUAAAAGACCACACCGGCCAGGCGCGGUGGCUCAUGCCUGUAAUCUCAGCACUUUGGGAGGCCGAGGCAGGCGGAUCACUUGAGGUCAGGAGUUCAAGCAGCCUGGCCAACAAUGCAAAACCCUGUCUCUACUAAAAAUAGAAAAAUUAGCUGGACGUGGUGGUGCGUGCCUGUAAUCCCAGCUAUGCAGGAGGCUGAGGCAGGAGAAUUGCUUGAACCCCAGAGGCGGAUGUUGUGGUGAGCUGAGAUCAAGACACUGCACUCCAGCCUAGGUGACAGGGUGAGUGAGACUCCAUCUCCAAAAAAAAAAAAAAAAAAAAAAAAAAAGACCUCCCCUUCCCAGAGUGGCCCAGGGAAUAGUAGGUAAGUAACUGAGCCAUCAGCGAAAGGGCAGAUUCUCAGCCAGGGAGCCAGAGAGUGGUGGAGGCAGGUAGUAGGGCUGUUCCUUGGGCUGUCCAGCAGGGAAUCUUGCCUCCCAGCCUCUGCCGGCUUGGGGCAAGACUCCCACUUUAUUUUUAAGAAGUCUGGCCUGGAACUUGGAGCUCCUUGAAAUAUUCUCCCCUACAGUCCCUUCUCU
Molecule: long non-coding RNA, 1758 nt
Filed under: Pan troglodytes (chimpanzee)
Lineage: Eukaryota; Metazoa; Chordata; Mammalia; Primates; Hominidae
Description: long non-coding RNA NONPTRT011911
Source: RNAcentral